This 145-nucleotide non-coding RNA is filed under the name uncultured Blautia sp. Its description in RNAcentral is "FMN riboswitch (RFN element)". It matches the Rfam family "FMN riboswitch aptamer (RFN element)". Rfam says of the family: The RFN element is a highly conserved domain that is found frequently in the 5'-untranslated regions of prokaryotic mRNAs that encode for flavin mononucleotide (FMN) biosynthesis and transport proteins. This element is a metabolite-dependent riboswitch that directly binds FMN in the absence of proteins. In Bacillus subtilis, the riboswitch most likely controls gene expression by causing premature transcription termination within the 5' untranslated region of the ribDEAHT operon and precluding access to the ribosome-binding site of ypaA mRNA. Lineage: Bacteria; Bacillati; Bacillota; Clostridia; Lachnospirales; Lachnospiraceae. The record is from RNAcentral.
UUCUUCGGGGCAGGGUGAUCAGACAGCAGGUCUGAAAUUCCCGACCGGCGGUGAUUUCGACAGUUCGAAAAAGUCCGCGAGCCGUUUUUGUACGGCUGAUCCGGUGCGAUUCCGGAACCGACAGUACAGUCUGGAUGAGAGAAGG